Molecule: ribosomal RNA, 496 nt
Filed under: uncultured bacterium
Lineage: Bacteria
Description: partial 16S ribosomal RNA
Rfam family: Bacterial small subunit ribosomal RNA
Source: RNAcentral
GAUGAACGCUGGCGGCGUGCCUAAUACAUGCAAGUCGAGCGAACGGACGAUAAGCUUGCUUCUUUGAUGUUAGCGGCGGACGGGUGAGUAACACGUGGAUCACCUACUUAUAUUACUGGGAUAAUUUCGGGAAACCGGAGCUAAUACCGGAUAAUAUUUUGAACCGCAUGGUUCAAAAGUGAAUGACGGUCUUGCUGUCUCUUAUAGCUGCAUCCGGGCUGAGUUAGCUAGUUGGUAAGGUAACGGCUUACCAAGGCAACGAUGCAUAGCCGACCUGAGAGGGGGAUCGGCCACACUGGAACUGAGACACGGCCCAGACUCCUACGGGAGGCAGAGGUAGGUAAUCUUGCGAAAUGGGCGAAAGCCUGACGAAGCAACGCCGCGUGGGUGAUGAAGGUCUUCGGAUCGGAAAACUCUGUUAUUGGGGAAGAACAUAUGUGUAUGUAACUGUGCACAUCUGGGGGGAACCUAAUCAGAAGGACACGGCUACUUCCGU